Molecule: ribosomal RNA, 253 nt
Filed under: uncultured bacterium
Lineage: Bacteria
Description: partial 16S ribosomal RNA
Rfam family: Bacterial small subunit ribosomal RNA
Source: RNAcentral
GACAGAGGGUGCAAACGUUGUUCGGAAUUACUGGGCGUAAAGCGAGUGUAGGCGGUCUGCUAAGUCGGGUGUGAAAGCCCUGGGCUCAACCCAGGAAGUGCACUCGAAACUGGCAGGCUAGAGUACUGGAGAGGUUGGUGGAAUUCUCGGUGUAGAGGUGAAAUUCGUAGAUAUCGAGAGGAACACCGGUGGCGAAGGCGGCAUCCUGGACCGGCAUUGACGCUGAGGAGCGAAAGCCAGGGGAGCAAACGGG